This 76-nucleotide transfer RNA is filed under the name Limnobacter sp. RNAcentral describes it as "tRNA-Ile". It matches the Rfam family "tRNA". Rfam says of the family: Transfer RNA (tRNA) molecules are approximately 80 nucleotides in length. Their secondary structure includes four short double-helical elements and three loops (D, anti-codon, and T loops). Lineage: Bacteria; Pseudomonadati; Pseudomonadota; Betaproteobacteria; Burkholderiales; Burkholderiaceae. The record is from RNAcentral. RNAcentral also lists the same sequence under 5 other names.
GGGGCUAUAGCUCAGCGGUUAGAGCAGAGGACUCAUAAUCCUUUGGUCCCCGGUUCAAAUCCGGGUGGCCCUACCA